GACGAAGGGGGCUAGCGUUGUUCGGAAUUACUGGGCGUAAAGCGAGUGUAGGUGGUUGUCCAAGUUGGAUGUGAAAGCCUUGAGCUCAACUCAAGAAAUGCAUUCAGGACUGGGCGGCUAGAGGACCGGAGAGGAUAGUGGAAUUCCCAGUGUAGUGGUGAAAUACGUAGAGAUUGGGAAGAACACCAGUGGCAAAGGCGGCUAUCUGGACGGUUUCUGACACUAAGACUCGAAAGCGUGGGGAGCAAACAGG
Molecule: ribosomal RNA, 253 nt
Filed under: uncultured bacterium
Lineage: Bacteria
Description: partial 16S ribosomal RNA
Rfam family: Bacterial small subunit ribosomal RNA
Source: RNAcentral